This 477-nucleotide ribosomal RNA is filed under the name uncultured bacterium. Its description in RNAcentral is "bacterial SSU rRNA". It matches the Rfam family "Bacterial small subunit ribosomal RNA", at positions 30 to 505 of the family's 1533-position model. The record is from RNAcentral.
AUUGAACGCUGGCGGCAUGCCUUACACAUGCAAGUCGAACGGCAGCACGGGAGCAAUCCUGGUGGCGAGUGGCGAACGGGUGAGUAAUAUAUCGGAACGUGCCCAGUCGUGGGGGAUAACGUAGCGAAAGCUACGCUAAUACCGCAUACGAUCUAUGGAUGAAAGCGGGGGAUCGCAAGACCUCGCGCGAUUGGAGCGGCCGAUAUCAGAUUAGGUAGUUGGUGGGGUAAAAGCCUACCAAGCCUUCGAUCUGUAGCUGGUCUGAGAGGACGACCAGCCACACUGGAACUGAGACACGGUCCAGACUCCUACGGGAGGCAGCAGUGGGGAAUUUUGGACAAUGGGCGAAAGCCUGAUCCAGCCACGCCGCGUGCAGGAUGACGGUCCUAUGGAUUGUAAACUGCUUUUGUCAGAGACGAAAGUGUAUGAUUUAUCAUAUUUUGACGGUAUCUGGCGAAUAAGCACCGGCUAACUACG